AUUUAUUGCCGACGCAAACUUUGCUAGGAGGCGGCUGCUAGAGUACUACGAGCGUGUGCUUAAAACUCAAAGAACUUGGCGGCUUGUUAACUACCCAGGGGAAUAUGCGCCUUAAUCCGAUGAUGCGCGCUACAUCUUACUGCGCCUUGAAAAAGAACAGCUGGUGUAUUGCCGUUGUCAGCCUGUUGUUCGAGCAUAGUGGAACAGGCUAAGUGGAGCUAACGAUAGGUAUCGUUAGAUUCCAGGAAUUCAGGUCGUAAUACUGCCAAUGGUGCAAGGGAGCGGGUAUUACAAUUCUGACUUAGAACUACGGACCCUGAAAAUAAUGAAAUUAUUAGGUGAAGGUGGACUUGGGAGUAAGGAGGGAUUAAUAUGUCUUCCUGAACGUGAAUCUAACUUGUGUACAAACCGCCCGUCGCUCUCCCCGGAAGGGGAGAUAAGU
RNAcentral lists this ribosomal RNA (442 nucleotides) under Mimachlamys sp. AA-2011. RNAcentral describes it as "partial 12S ribosomal RNA". It matches the Rfam family "Bacterial small subunit ribosomal RNA", at positions 838 to 1486 of the family's 1533-position model. Lineage: Eukaryota; Metazoa; Mollusca; Bivalvia; Pectinida; Pectinidae. The record is from RNAcentral.